ACCUACGGGAGGCAGCAGUGGGGAAUAUUGCACAAUGGGGGAAACCCUGAUGCAGCAACGCCGCGUGAGUGAAGAAGUAUUUCGGUAUGUAAAGCUCUAUCAGCAGGGAAGAAAAUGACGGUACCUGAGUAAGAAGCACCGGCUAAAUACGUGCCAGCAGCCGCGGUAAUACGUAUGGUGCAAGCGUUAUCCGGAUUUACUGGGUGUAAAGGGAGCGUAGACGGUGAGACAAGUCUGAAGUGAAAGCCCGGGGCUCAACCCCGGGACUGCUUUGGAAACUGCCUGACUGGAGUGCUGGAGAGGCA
This 305-nucleotide ribosomal RNA is filed under the name uncultured bacterium. Its description in RNAcentral is "bacterial SSU rRNA". It matches the Rfam family "Bacterial small subunit ribosomal RNA", at positions 337 to 659 of the family's 1533-position model. The record is from RNAcentral.